AGAAAAAAAUCACACACACACCAAACUUUUAUCGUCAGUGCCAUUUCUAUAAUUACUUAAUCGGUUCUUGUUUUCAGUUCAAGGCUACUGGAUUGGAGGCUACAAUUUCAAAAUGAAUGGAAAUUUUGAGUGGAUUAGUAAUCAAGACCAACCGAUGACAUACAGUGACUUCGGCCUAAAAGACUACCCGAACAUACAAAGAUGUCUCUUAUACUGGAAGGGUUAUGGAUACGCUUGGGGUGAUGGUCCUUGUACCGAACCAUAUCAUUAUGUGUGUGAAUUUAUCAAACAAUAACCAUUAUUGCGUAUGGAGAAUGGCCUUGUGUGUUUUUAUCAUUUUCUCUCAGUCUACACACUUUUGGGGCUGCCAUGAUAAAAUAUUGUAUCAUUAUUCUUUAAUGAUCUGCUUGUGUAAAUUUGGUCUGUAUAAUCAUCGAAACAAUACCAUCUCAAAUCUGGAGUUGAUAAAAACACUAAUUGCGGGGGUUGUUGUUCAUAGCAAUAUCUUGGUAUGAGAAAUUGAGAAUGUUUGAUCUGUAUAUCAAAAUAUGAUGACUAAUUCAGUUCAAGAGUCUAAACGUA
RNAcentral lists this long non-coding RNA (582 nucleotides) under Mytilus galloprovincialis (Mediterranean mussel). The record is from RNAcentral. Lineage: Eukaryota; Metazoa; Mollusca; Bivalvia; Mytilida; Mytilidae.